GUUCCUCUCCACCUUCAGAUGCUCCUUCAGGAACUACAUCAAGGAAGACUAGACAAACUACCCGACUCAGAAGAUUGACUAGCAGAAGCUUGGAUUAGCCAUGACCUACUGUCAAUGUCAACCCUACAACUAGUACAGGAUCAGGCCCCCAUAAAGAAAAGUUUCAUAGUUACCUGGGGGUAGUAGUGCGGGAAAAAAAUCCCAAUUGUACACUUGAGUUUGAAAGUUGUCUCGCAAUCUCUGAAGAACCUAAUAUGGGAUGACAUUAUGGGUAAAUUUGACAUCCCUAAAGGAUCAACUGCCAAGAAGAAGGUCAUGUCAAUGGUUGCCACAAGAUGAAGGCAAUUUAAGUCUUCCCUCACCACUAAAUAUGUAAAUGCUGACAAUGAGGGUGAGGAUAAACUUGAUCCUUCUGCUAAGUAUGGUAUGGAUCCAGAAACUUGGGAACAAUUUCUGAAUAGUUAGCAAACCCCUAAUUGGCAGGGAAUACAAAAAGGGUUAUGAUCUGCUAGAAAAAAACUGUUGGACGAGAAAAGGAAGACAAAACUCCUGAGUUUAUGGAAAAUUCAGCUAUAAUCAUCGAUCCUCCAUCUCCAAUUGCAAGACAUAUGAAGUGGAAGAUGGCCCAAACAAAGCAAUAUAGGCAGAUGAUAUCUAUAGAGGCACAA
Glycine soja is the source of this 668-nucleotide long non-coding RNA. RefSeq lists it as uncharacterized. The record is from RefSeq and is a predicted model, not a curated record. NCBI's taxonomy places the organism in Eukaryota, Viridiplantae, Streptophyta, Magnoliopsida, Fabales, Fabaceae. The transcript has 3 exons.